AUUGAACGCUGGCGGAAUGCUUUACACAUGCAAGUCGAACGGUAGAGGGGGCAACCCCUUGAGAGUGGCGAACGGGUGAGUAAUAUAUCGGAACGUGCCCAGUCGUGGGGGAUAACGUAGCGAAAGUUACGCUAAUACCGCAUACGAUCUAAGGAUGAAGCGGGGGAGUCGCAGGACCUCGCGCGAUUGGAGCGGCCGAUAUCAGAUUAGGUAGUUGGUGAGGUAAAGGCUCACCAAGCCAACGAUCUGUAGCUGGUCUGAGAGGACGACCAGCCACACUGGAACUGAGACACGGUCCAGACUCCUACGGGAGGCAGCAGUGGGGGAAUUUUGGACAAUGGACGCAAGUCUGAUCCAGCCAUCGCGUGCAGGA
Molecule: ribosomal RNA, 373 nt
Filed under: uncultured bacterium
Lineage: Bacteria
Description: bacterial SSU rRNA
Rfam family: Bacterial small subunit ribosomal RNA
Source: RNAcentral